UAGGGAAUAUUGCAAAAUGGGCGAAAGCCCGAUGCAGCAACGCCGCGUGGGCGAUGAAGGCCUUCGGGUCGUAAAGCCCUUUUUGAGGGGAUGAGGAAGGACAGUACCCUCAGAAUAAGCCUCGGCUAACUACGUGCCAGCAGCCGCGGUACAACGUAGGAGGCGAGCGUUAUCCGGAUUUACUGGGCGUAAAGCGCGUGCAGGCGGAUUGGAGAGUUGGAUGUGAAAGCUCCCGGAUGAACUGGGAGAGGUCGUUCAAUACUUCCAGUCUUGAGUGAAGUAGAGGGAAGUGGAAUUCCGGGUGUAGUGGUGAAAUGCGUAGAUAUCCGGAGGAACACCAGUGGCGAAAGCGGAUUCCUGGACUGUAACUGACGCUCAGACGCGAAAGCUAGGGUAGCAAACG
RNAcentral lists this ribosomal RNA (403 nucleotides) under uncultured bacterium. RNAcentral describes it as "bacterial SSU rRNA". It matches the Rfam family "Bacterial small subunit ribosomal RNA", at positions 355 to 774 of the family's 1533-position model. The record is from RNAcentral.